Long non-coding RNA from Panthera uncia (snow leopard), 784 nucleotides. RefSeq lists it as uncharacterized. The record is from RefSeq and is a predicted model, not a curated record. NCBI's taxonomy places the organism in Eukaryota, Metazoa, Chordata, Mammalia, Carnivora, Felidae. The transcript has 3 exons.
UUUAAAUCCAGAGACAUAAACUCUUGUCAGGGAUAGUGUUUCACACUUUGUUUGGAUCACUAGAAAUCUUGGAGCUAAUAUUUCAGCCCAUGUUAAGCAACGGUAUAGUACCAUGUGGUAUGCAUUUUCGGUGGGCAAAUUUUUUUAUUUUCCCUCUGCCCUGAUUAUUUCCGUAAUUUGUUUUCUUUUUUGUAGGACAAGUCAGGAUAUAAAUAUACCUUUGCUUAAGACUCUUUGUUUGCAAGUAACAGAAACCAACCUGAAGUAGCUUAACCAAAAGGGAAGAACUGUAUCAUAAGGUUGCAGAUGCUUCUCACAGAAGCCGGGAGCAGGAAUACAGCUGCAGCAAAGGAGUAGACCCAGGAGUUGGAAAGCUUUCAGGAACUCAAAGGAGAAUACAGUCGUCCCGCUAUUCAGCUAGGAAGUCAGCCCAGCGUGGAGAUCAGAGCCAAAACAAGGAAGCUCUGUCCGCUGAAAGAACCCUGGAGCAGCAGCCCUAUAUCCAGGAGAACACCUAACAUCCCGAUUGAAACACCAUCUUCUGCUAAAAGGAACCGGGAAUCCUUGAAGAAAUACCUGAUUUCACGGUUGGGACAGAGAAAGCGUAAGUGAGCCUGGACCUUCUUGUCGUGCCAGAAAACACGAAAAUGCUCGAAGAGUGAAGGAGACAUUUCAAAACAACAAUGUAGUCCGUUUGAAGGGACUCCCACUGGCCAAAUCUGGGAAAUUGGAACAUCAAAAUAAAUGAUGAUAGUAGGAGAUUAUGUCCCAUGGAGUAAAAUAG